UACGAACUGUGCAAACGUUAUUCGGAAUCACUGGGCUUAAAGGGCGCGUAGGCGGUCUGGUCAGUCCCUUGUGAAAUCCCCCGGCUCAACUGGGGAACUGCACGGGAAACAGCCGGGCUUGAGUUCGGGAGAGGGAAGCGGAAUUCCGGGUGUAGCGGUGAAAUGCGUAGAUAUCCGGAGGAACACCGGUGGCGAAGGCGGCUUCCUGGACCGAUACUGACGCUGAGGCGCGAAAGCUAGGGGAGCAAACGGG
RNAcentral lists this ribosomal RNA (253 nucleotides) under uncultured bacterium. Its description in RNAcentral is "partial 16S ribosomal RNA". It matches the Rfam family "Bacterial small subunit ribosomal RNA", at positions 524 to 776 of the family's 1533-position model. The record is from RNAcentral.